CAUUUAUGGGUAAAAUCCAUACCCAUCAAAGCUUCUAUCCAAGUAAUCUAUCUAUUACUACUAUCCACCUUCAUCCUUUUUAAAUAAUAAAAAUAAAAAUAAAAACAACUAAUUCAUUUAAUCCUAACAAAAUAAAAAUAUAAACAAAUACAUAUCAUCAAAUCAAACACAUCAAUUACUAAAUUAAUUACACUCCAUUUAAACACAUUUAGAUCACACAAAUACAAACCAAUAAUACACAUAAUUUAAAUUAAACAACUAAGUCAAUUAAACACAUAACAAAUGGCCAAAUAAUCAAUUAAUCAAAUAAAAAUAUAAUUAAAAUAAUUAAAUAAAUACCGAAAUAAUAUUUUUAAAAUUAAAAAUUAGGGAUAUUAUAGAGUGCUCCUGUCAUAGGUCUUUUGCUCUUGAUGGUUUCUUCUCCGGUGAUUUUGGAUAUUCCUUUCUAUCCUUGCCAGAAAGGCAAACGUGCGCAGCAGGAUGUAAAGCCGGGGGUUUUACAUUUUGGAAGAAUUGCUGACCUUUCAGUGCAAAAUUUUCCUUUUGAUCCAGGUAACGGACGGUUCCAGGUCUUAGAUCUUGUUCAUGCUGAGCAGAGACGACUUCUCAUUCUUCCGACGACGUAGGCGGUUCCUGUAUGGUUUAGCAUUGGACUUCUUUUUAGUUGUUCGCUUUCCAGUAUUGCCUUGUUAUUAGGGGUCCACCAGAUGGAUUCCCGAGUUGUAUUAGAAAUGGGAAAUUUGGUUGUAUCAGAAUAAUUCUUUAUUAAUUUAAUUUUAUUCUGAGGUUUCAGUAUUUGGUUUAUCA
Cornus florida is the source of this 807-nucleotide long non-coding RNA. RefSeq lists it as uncharacterized. The transcript is spliced from 2 exons. The record is from RefSeq and is a predicted model, not a curated record. NCBI's taxonomy places the organism in Eukaryota, Viridiplantae, Streptophyta, Magnoliopsida, Cornales, Cornaceae.